UACAGAGGUCUCAAGCGUUGUUCGGAUUCAUUGGGCGUAAAGGGUGUGUAGGUGGCCCCGUAAGUCCGCUGUGAAAGUCAAAGGCUCAACCUUUGAAAGCCGGUGGAUACUGUGGGACUAGAGUACGGAAGAGGCGAGUGGAAUUCCUGGUGUAGCGGUGGAAUGCGCAGAUAUCAGGAGGAACACCAAUAGCGAAGGCAGCUCGCUGGGACGUUACUGACACUGAGGCGCGAAAGCGUGGGGAGCGAACAGG
RNAcentral lists this ribosomal RNA (253 nucleotides) under uncultured bacterium. Its description in RNAcentral is "partial 16S ribosomal RNA". It matches the Rfam family "Bacterial small subunit ribosomal RNA", at positions 524 to 776 of the family's 1533-position model. The record is from RNAcentral.